GAUGAACGCUAGCGGCAGGCUUAACACAUGCAAGUCGAGGGGCAGCAUAAACAUUGCUUGCAAUGUUUGAUGGCGACCGGCGCACGGGUGCGUAACGCGUAUGUAACCUACCUCAAACAGGGGCAUAACACUGAGAAAUUGGUACUAAUUCCCCAUAACACCUGAUAGGGCAUCCUAUUAGGUUGAAAGUUCCGGCGGUUUGAGAUGGACAUGCGUUGUAUUAGCUAGUUGGUGAGGUAACGGCUCACCAAGGCGACGAUACAUAGGGGGACUGAGACGGUUAACCCCCCACAUUGGUACUGAGACACGGACCAAACUCCUACGGGAGGCAGCAGUGAGGAUAUGGUCAAUGGACGCAAGUCUGAACC
This 368-nucleotide ribosomal RNA is filed under the name uncultured bacterium. RNAcentral's name for it is "bacterial SSU rRNA". It matches the Rfam family "Bacterial small subunit ribosomal RNA", at positions 28 to 389 of the family's 1533-position model. The record is from RNAcentral.